RNAcentral lists this unclassified non-coding RNA (329 nucleotides) under soil metagenome. RNAcentral's name for it is "partial contains 5.8S ribosomal RNA, internal transcribed spacer 2, and large subunit ribosomal RNA". The stretch from base 1 to 120 matches the Rfam family "5.8S ribosomal RNA", at positions 35 to 154 of the family's 154-position model. The record is from RNAcentral.
GAUGAAGAACGUAGCGAAAUGCGAUAAGUAAUGUGAAUUGCAGAAUUCAGUGAAUCAUCGAAUCUUUGAACGCACAUUGCGCCCUCUGGUAUUCCAGGGGGCAUGCCUGUUCGAGCGUCAUUAUAACCACUCAAGCUCUCGCUUGGUAUUGGGGCUCGCGGUUCCGCGGCCCCUAAAAUCAGUGGCGGUGCCUGUCGGCUCUACGCGUAGUAAUACUCCUCGCGAUUGAGUCCGGUAGGUCUACUUGCCAGCAACCCCCAAUUUUUACAGGUUGACCUCGGAUCAGGUAGGGAUACCCGCUGAACUUAAGCAUAUCAAUAAGCGGAGGA